AAAAGGAUACUUGAAUAAGAAUUUUUCAAUGAAAGAUGUAGCGCCCAAGAUGCGAUUCUAUCCCAAUCACGUGAUGAAUUCAUGAUUUGGGCACAACCGCAUUUCGAGUGCAUAGCAAGGUGGAUAUCAUUACAACAUACCAUGUACUGAAUAAAUGAGAAUACAAGGUAAAGGCUUACACUCGCCACAAGCUACAACAUGAAUACAAUAGUUCAACAAUACAUAGCAAUCAACAUACAGAAGAGCAGGAUCCGACUACGGAUGAAAUCGAACAAAAAAGAAGAACGACAUCCACCCUACUAACCCCAGGCUCCCCGACCCGGAACCUAUCCCUUGAUCGAAGAAGAAGAACUGCAAAACCAAUCAAGCAUCACUUUCACGUCAGAUCAUCGCAUUACCUGUACCUGCAAUUGUUGUUGUAGUAAUAUGUGAGCCAGGAGGACUGAGCAAUCCCAUUACCAUGGGUAUCAAGACUAGCAAAGCUUAAUGGGUAUGGAAUGGAUAAGUGGUGGGGUUGCAGCAAGCGACUAAGCAUUGUAUGGUGGCUAACUUACGAGUACAAGAAUAAGAUGAGAAACUACGCAAUGGUCACAAACUAGUAAUGAUCAAGAAGUGAUCCUGAACUACUUAUGUUCAAACAUAACCCAACCGUGUUCUCAUCCUGAACCUCGUCGAAAAGGGACCAUCACAGUUACCCACGCGGUUGGUGUAUUUUAAUUGAGUUUAGUCAAGUCCACUACAACCGGAUAUUAACAAAUUCCCAUCUGCCACAGAACCGCGGGCACGGCUCUCAAAAGUUUAAACCCUUCAGGGGUGUCCCAACUUAGCCCAUGACAAGCUCAUGACCCGCGGAGACAAUCCUCCAUCGUAGGACAUCCGAUCAAACUCGUGAUCCCGGUGCACAAGACAUUUCGACAAUGGUAAAACAAAACCAUCAAGACCACCCGAUGCGUCGAUACCCCGAUAGGAGCCGCGGGUAUCUCAUUCUUAGGACAACACCGUCUAUGCUAAGUGGACGGUAGCCAAAAUGCCAUUUAGUUGCCCCGAGGCGGCACCGCCGACUGCUAGGUAGGUGGACCAACACUCAUGAGGAGCACUGGCCCGGGGGGUUGAUGAAAGCACAAGUGCUCCCUGGGUGGUUUUGGUAAUUAAUGUCAGCGUAUCUCCUGUUGGACUAAUGCUUCUAUCAAGUAUAUUUCAGAUAAGUUCAACAUAUGGAGUGUCAUGGACAAGAGGAUAUGGAACCCCUUCAAGAUGCUAAGGACAAAGGAUUGGAUCAAGCUCAAAAGCUCAAGGCUCUACAUUUUCAGUUUAAUGAUCCAAGAUCACAUUGAGUCCUUAGGAAAGCCAAUACUAUUAAAAGGGGAUGAGGUGUUGCUUAAUGGCUUGCUUGGUCAAAGUGCUUAGUGAUAUGCUCCAAAGCCCUCAACCACUUUCCCAUAUCCACAUAUGUCCCAAACCAAAAGUCAAACUCGGCCCACCGAUUUGAUCCAUUCGGCGCCGCCGAGUUCACUUGACAUAGCCACAACCAAAAACCCUAAUCAAUUCGGUCUCCCGAUGGUAUUUCGGUCUCAUUGAGAUGGGCUUGCAAACUCUCUGUUGCCUGUUGCAAUUAUUUUGGUCCCACCGAGAUAGGCACAUCGGUCCCACCAAGUUUGGUUGACCAACUCUCUGUUUUGCUUAUUACCGAAAUCGGUCUCACUGAGUUUGUGUAAUCGGUCAAACCGAGAUGAGGUUUUACCCUAACCCUAGCACAUCGUUCCCACCGAGUUGAUCAUAUUGGUCCCACCGAAAUGCCUAACGGUCACAUUAUGAACUGAAUCGGUAUGACCGAGUUGUCUGAUUUGGUCCCACCGAGUUUAGCAAAUUGUGUGUAAUGGUUAGAUUUUGUGUGGAGGCUAUAUAUACCCUCCACCCUUCCUUCAUUAGCAACGAGAACCAUCAGAACGUGCCUACACUUCAGCAUUCAUUUUCUGAGAGAGAAUCACCUACUCAUGUGUUGAGACCAAGAUACUCCAUUCCGACCAUAUGAACCUUGAUCUCUAGCCUUCCCAAGUUGCUUUCCACUCAAAUCAUCUUUCCACCAAAUCCAAAUCAGUGAGAGAGAGUUGAGUGUUGGGGAGACUAUCAUUUGAAGCACAAGAGCAAGGAGUUCAUCAUCAACACACCAUUUAUUACCUUUUGGAGAGUGGUGCCUCCUAGAUUGGUUAGGUGUCACUUGGGAGCUUCUGUCAAGAUUGUGGAGUUAAACCAAGGAGUUUGUACGGGCAAGGAGAUCGCCUACUUCGUGAAGAUCUACCCUAGUGAGGCAAGUCCUUUGUGGGCGAUGGCCAUGGUGGGAUAGACAAGAUUGCUUUUGAGUGGACCCUUCAUGGGUGGAGCCCUCCAUGGACUCGCGCAACCAUUACCCUUCGUGGGUUGAAGUCUCCAUCAACGUGGAUGUACGAUAGCACCGCCUAUCACAACCACACCAUCAAUCUCCGUGUCUCCAAUUGCAUUUGCACACUCCAAUCCCAUCCAUUUACUUUCUUGCAAAUUACAUGCUUUGCUUUUCGCUGCUUAUAUAUCAUACGUCCAUUUUGCAUGAUGCUUUUCUAUCAAUAUUUAUUGCAUUAUGGGCUGUUAUUACACAUUAUGUCACAAUACUUAUGCAUAUUCUCUCUUAUUUUACAAGGUUUACAUGAAGAGGGAGAAUGCCGACAGCUAGAAUUCUGGGCUGGAAAAGGAGAAAUAUUAGAGACCUAUUCUUCACAGCUCCAAAAGUCCUGAAACUCCACAGAGUCAUUUUCAGAAUAUAUAAAAAAUAUUGGGCGAAGGAAGCACCAAAGGGGGGCCACCUACCAUCCACAACGGCGGGGGGGCGCACACUACCCUCUUGGGUGCGCCCCCUGCCUCGUGGGCCCCCUGGCAGGCCUCCGAUGCCCAUCUUCUGCUAUAUGAGGUCUUUCGUCCGAAAAAAAAUCAUAAGCAAGAUCACGGGAGGAAACUCUGCCGCCAUGAGGCGGAACCUUGGCGGAACCAAUCUAGGGCUUCGGCGGAGCUGUUCUACCGGGGAAACAUCCCUCCGGGAGGGGGAAAUCAUCACCAUCGCCAUCACCAUCGAUCCUCUCAUCGGGAGGGGGUCAAUCUCCAUCAACAUCUUCACCAGCACCAUCUCCUCUCCAACCCUAGUUCAUCUCUUGUAUCCAAUCUUUGUCUCGAAACCUCAGAUUGGUACAUGUGGGUUACUAGUAGUGUUGAUUACUCCUUGUAGUUGAUGCUAGUUGGUUUAUUCGGUGGAAGAUCAUAUGUUAAGAUCCUUUAUGCAUAUUAAUACCCCUCUGAUUAUGAACAUGAAUAUGAUUUGUGAGUAGUUACGUUUGUUCCUGAGGACAUGUGAGAAGUCUUGCUAUAAGUAGUCAUGUGAAUUUGGUAUUCGUUCGAUAUUUUGAUGAGAUGUAUGUUGUCUCUCCUCUAGUGGUGUCAUGUGAACAUUAACUACAUGACACUUCACCAUUAUUUGGGCCUAGGGGAAGGCAUUGGGAAGUAAUAAGUAGAUGAUGGGUUGCUAGAGUGACAGAAUCUUAAACCAUAGUUUAUGAGUUCCUUCGUAAGGGGUUGAUUUGGAUCCAUAUGUUUAAUGAUAUGGUUAGGUUUACCUUAAUACUUCUUUCCUAGUUUCGGAUCCUUGCAAGAGAGGUUAAUCAUAAGUGGGAUGAUUGUCCAAGGAAGGGCAGUACCCAAGCACCGGUCCACCCACAUAUCAAAUUAUCGAAGUACCGAACGUGAAUCAUAUGAACGUGAUGAAAACUAGUUAGACGAUAAUUCCCAUGUGUCCUCGGGAGUGUUUUCCUUUAUAUAAGAGUUUGUCCAGGCUUGUCCUUUGCUACAAAAAGGAUUGGGCCAUCUUGCUGCACCUCAUUUACUUUUAUUACUUGUUACCCGUUACAAAUUAGCUUAUCACAAAACUAUUUGUUACCAAUAAUUUUAUUGCUUGCAGAGAAUACCUUACUAAAAACGGCUUAUCAUUUCCUUCUGCUCCUUGUUGGGUUCGACACUCUUACUUAUCGAAAGGACUACGAUAGAUCCCCUUCACUUGUGGGUCAUCAAUAUACUCUUUCCAUGCUUGCUUGAAUGUAUUGUGAAUUUUUUGAACUUGUGCUAAAACUCCACCUUAACUUGAAGAAAUUAAAAACUGCUACUUUUCUUUGUUAAGAGUCUAUUCACCUCUUCUCGAUCCUUUCAAUUAGUAUCAGAGCAUUGGUCUCGAUUGCAUUGGUUUAAACACCUUUGGAGGAAGAUGGAUGAGUCUAUGUUGGGGAGUCUUAGACGUAGAGUGCCUAUACUUGAUGGAGAGUUCUUUCAUGAGUGGAAAAUUCAGAUUCUUGAGAUUUUCAAUGAAUAUCAUUUGAACAAGUAUAUUACUAGCCCUUGUGCACCUCAUGUUGAUCCUUUGCAUCCUGCCCUUGAUGAGUCUAUUGACAUGAUCCGUAAUCUUAGAACUGUCAACCUAAUCACUAAAGGAUUGCCUAGAAACUUGUUUGCUAGCUUGCUUGCUCUUGAUUGUGCCUACACCAUAUGGAGAUUUCUUGAGGAACGAUUUCCAAACUAUUCCUUGCAAAACUUGGAUGAAAUUCUUCAUAAGUCUAUUGCUUUGAGUAAGAUGAGUUCCAAUGAUCCCAAAUUUGGUGAUUGUCUAUUUGAGCCUACUAAUCUCACACGUGCCAAAGGAGAUGUUGGAAUCAUUAGCAAUAUCAUCUCCGAAGCCACUAGAAUUCAUAAAGAUAACUAUUGUGAUGACCAUUUAUCUAUUGAAUUACCCUCUCUAGGAAUUGAUCCAUCACAAGACGAUGUUGAACAUGGAUACUAUGAUGAGGAUGAUGAUAGUGACUUUGAUCCAAGGAAGGGUAGUACCCAAGCAUAGGUCCACCCACAUAUCGAAUUAUCAAAGUAUCGAACACGAAUCAGAUGAACGUGAUGAAAACUAGUUUGAGGAUAAUUCCCAUGUGUCCUCGGGAGCGUUUUCCUUUAUAUAAGAGUUUGUCCAGGCUUGUACUUUGCUACAAAAAGGAUUGGGCCAUCUUGCUGCACCUCAUUUACUUUUAUUACUUGUUACCCAUUACAAAUUACCUUAUCACAGAACUACCUGUUACCGAUAAUUUCAGUGCUUGUAGAGAAUACCUUACUGAAAACAGCUUAUCAUUUCCUUCUGCUCCUCAUUGGGUUCGAUACUCUUACUUAUCGAAAGGACUAUGAUAGAUACCCUACACUUGUGGGUCAUCAAAACUCUUUUCUGGCGCCGUUUCUAGGAAGUGAAGCACCUUUGGUAGGUGGAAUUUGGUAAGGAAAAAAUUUAUAUAGUGUGCUGAAAUUCACUGUCACUUGUUACUAUGGAACAUAAUCCUUUGAGGGCCUUGUUCGGGGUAUCUUCACCCCUGAGUAGAGCAUCGAGUUGCUCGUCAACCUACUGAACCUACUUAAAAUGUUUAUUUUGAAAUUCCUCCGGUUAUGAUAGAGAAACUGCUAGCUAAUCCUUUCACGGGCGAUGGAACAUUACAUCCCGAUUUGCACCUAAUCUAUGUGGAUGAAGUUUGUGGAUUAUUUAAGCUUACAGGUAUGCCUAACAUGUUAUGAAGAAGAAGGUCUUCCUUUUAUCUUUGAAGGGAAAGGCAUUGACAUGGUUUAGGCUAUGUGAUGAUAUGGGAUCAUGGAACUACAACUGAUUGAAAUUGGAAUUUCAUCAGAAGUUUUAUCCUAUGCAUCUUGUUCAUCAUGAUCGUAAUUAUAUAUAUAAUUUUUGGCCUCGCGAAGGAGAAAGAAUCUCUCAAGCUUGGGGGAGGCUUAAGUCAAUGUUAUAUUCAUGCCCCAAUCAUGAGCUCUCAAGAUAAAUUAUUAUUCAAAAAAUUUAUGCGCGGCUUUCUCUCAAUAAUCGCUCCAUGCUCGAUACUUCUUGUACUGGAUAUUUUAUGAUGAAGACUAUUGAAUUCAAAUGGGAUUUAUUGGAAAGAAUUAAACGCAACUAUGAAGAUUGGGAUCUCGACAAAGGUAAGGACCCAGGUAUAACCCCAAAGUUUAAUUGUGUUAAAUCUUUUAUGGAUACCGAUGCCUUUCGUGAAUUUAGCACUAAAUACGGACUUGACUCUGAGAUAGCAGCUUCUUUCUAUGAAUCCUUUGCUACUCAUGUUGACCUCCCUAAGGAGAAGUGGUUUAAAUAUAAUCCUCCCAUUGAAGUAGAAGUAGUUGCACCUAUUAAAGUUGAAGAAUAGACUAUCACUUAUAAUGUUGAUCCUGUCAAGCAGGAAAACAAAUUGGAGGAAGUCAUCUCGUGAAGAACAUCAUGACCAUGAGAAGACCGCUCGAGCUACUUCAUAUGGAUCUCUUCAGUCACAAUGCCUACAAAAGUCUCGGUGGUAACUCAUUUGGUCUAGUCAUAGUCGAUGAUUUUUCAAGAUUUACGUGGGUGUUCUUUCUUGAUGAUAAAUCACAGGUCCAAAAGAUCUUCAAGAACUUCACUAGGAAGGCCCAAAAUCAAUUUGAAGUGAAGAUCAAGAAGGUUCGAAGCGACAAUGGAACGGAGUUCAAGAACGCAAAUGUGGAUACCUCUCUUGACAAAGAAGGGAUUUCACAUGAGUUCUCAGCAACGUAUACGCCUCAACAAAAUGGAGUUGUUGAGAGGAAGAACCGGACUCUUAUCGAGAUGGUGAGAACGAUGCUUGAUGAGUACAAGACUCCAAAACACUUUUGGGCGGAAGCGGUUGAGAUAGCUUGUCAUGCAACAAAUCGCUUGUAUAUUCACAAGCUACUCGGCAAGACGGCAUAUGAACUUCUCACCGGUACAAAACCUAAGUUGGAUACUUUCGAGUAUUUGGCUCAAAGUGUUUCAUUCUUGAUAAGCAUCGUCGUUCUAAAUUUGCUCCUAAAUCUCAUGAGGGUUUCCUACUUGGUUAUGGCUCAAGCUCUCACACUUACCGUGUCUACAACAAUUUCACCCGAAAGGUUGAAGAGACGGUAGAUGUGAAGUUUGAUGAAUCUAACGGCUUGCAAGUAGAUCACUUGCCAAUUGAUGUAGGAGACAAAAGACCAUUUGGAAGCAAUCCAAGACUUUUCUAUUGGAAAGAUUCAUCCAACGGAGGUGAGGGAGAUUACCCCGUCCGUCCAAGUGGAAGCUUCUACCUCACGACAAGGUGAACCAAGAGAUGACAUGGAAACAUCCACAAGUGGAACACGCCAAGAUUAAGAAAACAAGGAAGUACACCAAGAUGAACCUCAUCAACCUCCUUCUCCACCUCGACAAGAGAACGACAACAUCAACAACAAAGAAGUCCAAGAAGAAGAACGAGAUGAUGAAGAAGAUGCUCCACCCCGACCCAAACAAAAGCUCCCACGGGUUCAAGCAAGAGUUUCACGAGACCAUCCCGUUGAACAAAUCUUCAACGAUAUUCAAACCGGGAGAAUCACUCGCUCUAAAACUCGUUUGGCUCAUUUUUGUGAACAUUAUUCAUUCAUCUCUAGCAUUGAACCUAUGAAGGUUGAAGAAGCAUUGGAAGAUCCGGAUUGGAUAAAUGCCAUGCAUGAAGUGCUACACAAUUUUAAGAGAAACCAAGUGUGGACAUUGGUCGAGAAGCCCGACAACAACCAUAAAAUCAUCGGUACCAAAUGGGUGUUUCACAACAAGCAAUACGAAGAUGGACAAGUAGUUCGCAACAAAGCACGUCUUGUCACCCAAGGCUACACUCAAGUCGAAGGUAUGGACUACGAUGAGACAUAUGCCCCCGUUGCUAUACUUGAGUCCAUCCGCAUCUUACUUACCUAUGCUAAUCACCAUGAUAUCACCUUGUACCAAAUGGACAUUAAAAGUGCUUUUCUAAAUGGUGAAAUUGAGGAGGAAGUUUAUGUUAAACAACCUCCCGUGUUUAUUAAUACUAAGAAACCUGAUCAUGUUUGCAAACUUCAUAAAGCUCUUUAUGGUCUUAAACAAGCUCCUAGAGCGUGGUACAAAUGCUUGACCAAGUUCCUUAUUGAAAAAGGCUUUGAGAUUGGAAAGAUUGAUUCUACUCUUUUUACUAAAAGGGUUAAUGGUGAAUUAUUUGUGUGCCAAAUUUAUGUUGAUGAUAUCAUAUCUGGUUCAACUAACCCUCAUUUUAGUGAAAAGUUUGGAAAGCUAAUGUCGGAGAAGUUUCAUAUGUCUAUGAUGAGUGAACGCAAAUUCUUCCUUGGUUUGCAAAUCAAGCAAACUAAGGAAGGCACCUUUGUUUCCCAAACAAAGUAUACUAAGGACUUAUUCAAUAAGUUCAACAUGCAAGAAAGCAAAGAUAUGAAAACUCCCAGGCCUACUAGUGGACAUCUUGACUUAACCAAGGAUGGCAAACUAGUUGACCAAAAGGUUUAUAGCUCUAUGAUUAGUUCAUUGUUAUAUCUAUGUGCCUCCUGUCCCGAUAUUUUGCUAUGUGUGUGCAUGUGUGCAUGAUAUCAAGCGGCCCCCAAAGAAUGUGAUCUUAAGGAUGUGAAAAGGACAGUGAGAUACCUAAUCCAUACACCAAAAUUUUGGCAUUUGGUAUCCUAAGAGGUCUUCUUUUGAUCUUGUUGGCUAUUCCGACUCGGACUAUGCCGGUGACAAGGUUGAUACAAAGUCCACUUCAGGUACUUGUCAAUUUCUUGGUAGAUCUCUUCUAUCUUGGUCCGCCAAGAAACAAAACUCGGUAUCCUUAUCCACUACCGAAGCGGAAUACGUUGCCAUCGGUUCAUGUUGUGCUCAAUUACUUUGGAUGACCCAAACUCUUAAAGAUUAUGGGAUCUAUGUGAAACAUGUUCCAUUGCUUUGUGAUAAUGAAAGUGCUAUUAAGAUUGCUCAUAAUCCCGAGCAACAUUCUCGAACCAAGCAUAUUGAAGUUUGUCAUCAGUUCAUUCGAGAUCAUGUUUCCAAAGGGGAUAUUGAUCUUAAGCAUGUUCGUACCGAUAAGCAAUUGGCGGAUAUAUUCACCAAGCCGCUUGAUGAGAAAGUAUUUUGCUGUUUGAGAGGUGAAUUGAACAUCAUUGAUGCCUCAAACUUGGAGUAGAAACUCCAUUUGGAUACAUGCAAGGCAUGAGCCUUUGACUAAUCCUUGAUAUUUCUCUUAUGAUGAUGAUCAUAUAUCUUGGAUAUGUUUGCACCCUUGCAUGCUAUCUAACCCUUGUAGGUACUUGGAUGAACCAAAAUCUAUGAGAUUGCAAAUCACUCACAUCUUGAGCAAUCUCUACAUCACCAAGUCUCUACAAUAUGGUGGUUGAAGACAAGGAAGCAUGAAACCUUUAAACAUAUCCUUUGACCAUUUCUAUAUAUCAAAUUCCAUUUGAUAUCAAAUUCAUGAUUGUCAAUUUGGAUACACAAGUGCUCUUCCUUGCAAGACUAACCCAUGUAGGUAGAUGAACUCAAAUUACAAGUGGUGCACCCAAUCCUUGCUGAGCUACAUCAACCUUGAGCAUCCCACACAAGUUCAACUACAUGAUCAAGUUCAACUCCACCACCCAAGGUAUGCUAUUCCAUCUGAGAGAAGCUUUACCCCAAGUCAUGGGUCAAAGCAACUCAACAAGAUGCGAAUACAUCAAAUUCUUAAAUGAAAAAAGGUAACCCCAUUUUGAGCUUAAACGAUGAGUAUGACCUACGAUCAAGUGUUCUCACUUGACUCCUCAGUCAAUAUACUCUAACAUAGGUGACUUUGUCGCCGACCAAUUCUAGAUGAAGUUCUCUAGUGUCUCUCUGUAUUUUUGUUUCAUUUGUCUCUUGCAUGUUUGUUUCCCUUUUCCUUUCUUUGUUUUGUUUUGCAUUCCUUGCAUCAAAUUCAUUGCAAAUCCUUCCAUUAAUUCCUUGCAAACCUGGAUAUAGAACUAUAGGUGGAAUAUAAUAUGAUGAUGGAGGUUGUGUGGAGAAGACAAAAAAGGAGAAAGUCUCACAUUGACGUGGCUAAUCAACGGGCCAUGGAGAUGCCCAUCAAUUGAUGUCAAUGUGAGGAGUAGGGAUUGCCAUGCAAUAGAUUCACUAUAGCUAUAAGUGUAUGAAAGCUCAAACUGAAACUAAGUGGGUGUGCAUCCAACUUGCUUGCUCAUGAAGACCUAGGGCACUUGAGCAAGCCCAUAGUUGGAAUAUACAAGCAAAGUUCUAUAAUGAAAAUUCCCACUAGUAUAUGAAAGUGAUAACUCAAGAGACUCUCUAUAUGAAGAACAUGGUACUACUCUUAAGCACAAGUGUGGUAAAAGGAUAGUAGCAUUGCCCCUUCUCUCUUUUUCUCUCAUUCUUUUGGUGGGCUUCUUUGGCCUCUUUUUUUAUCUAGGCUUGUUUGGCCUCUUUUAUUUUUCAUAAAGUCUGGAGACUCAUCCCAACUUGUGAGGGAAUCAUAACUUCCAUCAUCCUUUCCUCACAUGGGACAAUGCUCUAAUAAUGAUGAUCAUCACACUUUUGUUUACUUACAACUCAAUAUUACAACUCGAUAUCUAGAACAAAGAUAUGACUCUAUAUGAAUGCCUCCGGCGGUGCAUCGGGAUGUGCAAUGAUCUAGCAUAGCAAGGAUAUCAAAAAAGGGACGAGCCAUGAAAACAUCAUGCUAGCUAUCUUACAAUCAUGCAAAGCAAUAUGGCAAUGAAUGCUCAAGUCAUGUAUAUGAUGAUGAUGGAAGUUGCAUGGCAAUAUAUCUCGGAAUGGCUAUGGAAAUGUCAUGAUAGGUAGGUAUGGUGGCUGUUUAUGGAAGAUAUAAGAAGGCUUAUGUGUGAUAGAGUGUAUCAUAUCACGGGGUUUGGAUGCAUCGGCGAAGUUUGCACCAACUCUCGAGGUGAGAAAGGGCAAUGCACGGUACCGAAGAGGCUAGCAAUGAUGGAAGGGUGAGAGUGCGUAUAAUCCAUGGACUCAACAUUAGUCCUAAAGAACUCAUGUACUUAUUGCAAAAUUCUAUUAUUCAUUGAAACAAAGUAUUACGCGCAUGCUCCUAGGGGGAUAGAUUGGUAGGAAAAGACCAUCGCUCUUCCCCGACCGCCGCUCAUAAGGAAUACAAUCAAUAAAUACCUCAUGCUCCAACUUCGUUCCAUAACGGUUCACCAUACGUGCAUGCUACGAGAAUCACAAACUUCAACACAAGUAUUUCUACAAUCCACAAUUACCCACUAGCAUGACUCUAAUAUCACCAUCUUUAUAUCGCAAAACUAUUGCAAGGAAUCAAACAUAUCAUAUUCAUUAAUCUACAAGUUUUAUGUAGGAUUUUAUGACUAACCAUCUGAAUGACCAAUUCAUGUCAUCUCUCUAAAUAUAUAUAUAAGUGAAGCAAGAGAGUUUAAUUAUUUCUACAAAAGAUAUGCCCACACUCUAACAAAUAUAAGUGAAGAAAAAGAGCAAACUACAAAUGGCGGUUUUCUAUGUGAAGAGAAACAGGCAAUCCAAACUUCAAAUGAUAUAAGUGAAGCACAUGAAGCAUUCUAUAAAGCCAUACUCAAAAGACAUAAGUGAAGUGCAAAGAACAUUCUAUAAAUCAACCAUGGAGCAUCUCAUACCAUCAUGGUGCAUCAAUGAAAAGUGAAAACUAAAUGCAAAACAUGCUCCAAGAUUUGCACAUAUCACAUGAACGAAACGAAACCGAAAACAUACCGAUACUUGUUGAAGAAAUAUGGGAUGCCUUCCGGGGCAUCCCCAAGCUUAGACGCUUGAGUCUCCUUGAAUAUUUACUUGGGGUGCCUCGGGAAUCCCCGAGAUUGAGCUCUUGCCUCUCCUCCUUCUCCACAUAUCGAGACCUCCUCGAUCUUUGAUCACUUCAUCCACGCAAAACUCAACAGAAAGCUCGGUAAGAUCCGUUUGUAUAAUAAAGCAAAUCACUACUCUAAGUACUGUUACAAACCAAUUCAUAUUUUGUUUUUGAAUUGUAGCUACUGUAAUAUAACUUUUCCAUGG
This 11887-nucleotide long non-coding RNA is filed under the name Triticum aestivum (bread wheat). RNAcentral's name for it is "long non-coding RNA (TAES_LNC010335)". The record is from RNAcentral. Lineage: Eukaryota; Viridiplantae; Streptophyta; Magnoliopsida; Poales; Poaceae.